GCCCUUCGGGGUGGACGCUCGUGGAACGAGCGGCGGACGGGUGAGUAACACGUGGGCAACCUGCCUGUAAGACCGGAAUAACCCCGGGAAACCGGGGCUAAUGCCGGGUAACCAUUCGGUUCUCCUGAACCGGAUGUAAAAGGAUGGCUUCUUGCUAUCGCUUACAGAUGGGCCCGCGGCGCAUUAGCUAGUUGGUAAGGUAACGGCUUACCAAGGCGACGAUGCGUAGCCGACCUGAGAGGGUGAUCGGCCACACUGGGACUGAGACACGGCCCAGACUCCUACGGGAGGCAGCAGUAGGGAAUCUUCCGCAAUGGACGAAAGUCUGACGGAGCAACGCCGCGUGAACGAUGAAGGCCUUCGGGUCGUAAAGUUCUGUUGUGAGGGAAGAACAAGGAUCGUGCGAACAGAACGGUCCCUUGACGGUACCUCACGAGGAAGCCCCGGCUAACUACGUGCCAGCAGCCGCGGUAAUACGUAGGGGGCAAGCGUUGUCCGGAAUUAUUGGGCGUAAAGGGCACGCAGGCGGUUCCUUAAGUCUGAUGUGAAAGCCCGUGGCUCAACCACGGAGGGCCAUUGGAAACUGGGGAACUUGAGAACUGAAGAGGAGAGUGGAAUUCCACGUGUAGCGGUGAAAUGCGUAGAUAUGUGGAGGAACACCAGUGGCGAAGGCGACUCUCUGGUCGGUUUCUGACGCUGAGGUGCGAAAGCGUGGGUAGCAAACAGGAUUAGAUACCCUGGUAGUCCACGCCGUAAACGAUGAGUGCUAGGU
This 772-nucleotide ribosomal RNA is filed under the name Salimicrobium sp. NH35. RNAcentral describes it as "bacterial SSU rRNA". It matches the Rfam family "Bacterial small subunit ribosomal RNA", at positions 66 to 821 of the family's 1533-position model. Lineage: Bacteria; Bacillati; Bacillota; Bacilli; Caryophanales; Bacillaceae. The record is from RNAcentral.